This 309-nucleotide ribosomal RNA is filed under the name Pantoea sp. Its description in RNAcentral is "bacterial SSU rRNA". It matches the Rfam family "Bacterial small subunit ribosomal RNA", at positions 977 to 1286 of the family's 1533-position model. Lineage: Bacteria; Pseudomonadati; Pseudomonadota; Gammaproteobacteria; Enterobacterales; Erwiniaceae. The record is from RNAcentral.
ACUCUUGACAUCCAGCGAACUUUCCAGAGAUGGAUUGGUGCCUUCGGGAACGCUGAGACAGGUGCUGCAUGGCUGUCGUCAGCUCGUGUUGUGAAAUGUUGGGUUAAGUCCCGCAACGAGCGCAACCCUUAUCCUUUGUUGCCAGCGAUUCGGUCGGGAACUCAAAGGAGACUGCCGGUGAUAAACCGGAGGAAGGUGGGGAUGACGUCAAGUCAUCAUGGCCCUUACGAGUAGGGCUACACACGUGCUACAAUGGCGCAUACAAAGAGAAGCGACCUCGCGAGAGCAAGCGGACCUCACAAAGUGCGU